AUGUUAAAGCCAAGAGUGGCCUUGAAGCAGAUCUGGCCCAAGGAGGAAAUCAUCCCCAAGGUGAAGCAACUCUGCCCCAGGCCUGCAGCAAGGUGGGGAUGGCCCCAUCUUUCUUGCUUUUGCUGGUUCCUUCCUCUCAGCUCCACUGGGGGACACUGUGACCCCAAUACCCGCUGCAGGUGGAGCCCUGGUCUAAUGCUCUCUCACCUGGCUCCACAUCCCUCUCUCUCUCUCUCUCUGUCUCUCUGUAACUCUGCUUUUCAAAUAAAUGUCUUAAAAAUUAUAUUAGAGUUUAUAUUUAGGAGAUCUACUUGGAUCUCUUAUAUAUGUGAACAUUUUUUAAAGAUGGCAUGAUCCUAUAUAUAGAUCUUAUUCCAUGUUUUAUUUUAAAUAAUUUAAGAAUUUCAAAUAUUUGUUUGAAAUUUUUAUUUCAUAAUAGCAACAUCUGAUGAUUUUUUGCACCUAACUUUCCUGUUUAUAUUUUCUGUGGACUCUUAUUCAUAGUGGAUUAUUUCUUUUUUUUUAACUUUUAUUUAAUGAAUAUAAAUUUCCAAAGUACAGAAUAUUGAUUACAAUGACUUCCCCCCCAUAACGUCCCUCCAACCCGCAACCCUCCCCUUAUCUACUCCCUCUCCCCUUCCAUUCACAUCAAGAUUCAUUUUCAAUUCUCUUUAUAUACAGAAGAUUAGUUUAGCAUACAUUAAGUAAAGAUUUCAACAGUUUGCUCCCACACAGAAACAUAAAGUGAAAAAUACUGUUUGAGUACUAGUUAUAGCAUUAGAUCUCAAUGUACAGCACACUAAGGACAAAGAUCCUACAUGAGGAGUAAGUGCACAGUGACUCCUGUUGUUGACCUAACAAAUUGACACUCUUGUUUAUGGCAUCAGUAAUCACCCUAGGCUCUUGUCAUGAGCUGCCAAGGCUAUGGAAGCCCCCUGAGUUCACUGACUCUGAUCAUUUUUAGACAAGGCCAUGGUCAAAGUGGAAGUUCUCUCCUCCCUUCAGAGAAAGGUACCUCCUUCUUUGAUGACCCAUUCUUUCAUAGUGGAUUAUUUCUUACACAUUAUAUAACUUGAUUGUGAAUUCACCUCAUUUGGAAUUCUUUAAGCACUGACCUAAGAUGAGUAUUCUAAGAAAUAUUUGUGUUUGCCUCUAUCCUUCGACUGGGGGUGCUAAAGACAUGAUUUCCUUUUAUUAAAAAUUUUUUUUUAUUUUUUUUAUUUUUUUUUAUUUUUUUUUAACUUCUAUUUAAUGAAUAUAAAUUUCCAAAGUACGAUUUAUGGAUUACAAUGGCUUCCCCCCCAUACCGUCCCUCCCACCCACAACCCUCCCCUUUCCCACUCCCUCUCCCCUU
This 1354-nucleotide long non-coding RNA is filed under the name Oryctolagus cuniculus (rabbit). RNAcentral describes it as "lncRNA (ENSOCUG00000036105.1)". Lineage: Eukaryota; Metazoa; Chordata; Mammalia; Lagomorpha; Leporidae. The record is from RNAcentral.